UAGGGAAUCUUCGGCAAUGGGGGGAACCCUGACCGAGCAACGCCGCGUGAGUGAAGAAGGUUUUCGGAUCGUAAAGCUCUGUUGUUAUGGAAGAACGAGUGUGAGAAUGGAAAGUUCAUACUGUGACGGUACUUAACCAGAAAGGGACGGCUAACUACGUGCCAGCAGCCGCGGUAAUACGUAGGUCCCGAGCGUUGUCCGGAUUUAUUGGGCGUAAAGCGAGCGCAGGCGGUUAGAUAAGUCUGAAGUUAAAGGCAGUGGCUCAACCAUUGUAGGCUUGGGAAACUGUUUAACUUGAGUGCAGAAGGGGAGAGUGGAAUUCCAGGUGUAGCGGGGAAGUGCGUGGAUAUAUGGAGGAACACCGGUGGCGAAAGCGGCUCUCUGGUCUGUAACUGACGCUGAAGCUCGAAAGCGUGGGGAGCGAACAGG
RNAcentral lists this ribosomal RNA (429 nucleotides) under Bacteroidota bacterium. Its description in RNAcentral is "Bacteroidetes bacterium partial 16S ribosomal RNA". It matches the Rfam family "Bacterial small subunit ribosomal RNA", at positions 355 to 776 of the family's 1533-position model. Lineage: Bacteria; Pseudomonadati; Bacteroidota. The record is from RNAcentral.